AUUGAACGCUGGCGGCAGGCCUAACACAUGCAAGUCGAACGGUAACAGGAAGAAGCUUGCUUCUUUGCUGACGAGUGGCGGGCGGGUGAGUAAUGUCUGUGAAACUGUCUGAUGGAGGGGGAUAACUACUGGAAACGGUAGCUAAUACCGCAUAACGUCGCAAGACCAAAGAGGGGGACCUUCGGGCCCCUUGCCCUCGGAUGUGCCCAGAUGGGAUUAGCUAGUAGGUGGGGUAACGGCUCACCUAGGCGACGAUCCCUAGCUGGUCUGAGAGGAUGAGCAGCCACACUGGAACUGAGACACGGUCCAGACUCCUACGGGAGGCAGCAGUGGGGAAUAUUGCACAAUGGGCGCAAGCCUGAUGCAGCCAUGCCGCGUGUAUGAAGAAGGCCUUCGGGUUGUAAAGUACUUUCAGCGGGGAGGAAGGGAGUAAAGUUAAUACCUUUGCUCAUUGACGUUACCCGCAGAAGAAGCACCGGCUAACUCCGUG
This 490-nucleotide ribosomal RNA is filed under the name uncultured bacterium. RNAcentral's name for it is "partial 16S ribosomal RNA". It matches the Rfam family "Bacterial small subunit ribosomal RNA", at positions 30 to 507 of the family's 1533-position model. The record is from RNAcentral.